UGGGAAGCGAGUCCCGUUUCAAGUCGCGGUACUUCGUAGAGCUCUCCGGGGGUUGCACAUCAACCACAACUUGAAUAGGCCAAAGGCUGAAAGAAAAUGU
Molecule: small RNA, 100 nt
Filed under: pig gut metagenome
Description: drum RNA
Rfam family: drum RNA
About the family: Firmicutes, Bacteroidetes (1 example), Proteobacteria (2 examples), Spirochaetes (2 examples). Terminator (Clostridia)
Source: RNAcentral